CGAGUCUUAACUGGGCGAAUGAGUUGCAGGGUAUAGACCCGAAACCCGGUGAUCUAUCCAUGGGCAGGUUGAAGGUUGGGUAACACUAACUGGAGGACCGAACCGACUAAUGUUGAAAAAUUAGCGGAUGACUUGUGGAUGGGGGUGAAAGGCCAAUCAAACCGGGAGAUAGCUGGUUCUCCCCGAAAGCUAUUUAGGUAGCGCCUCGUGAACUCAUCUUCGGGGGUAGAGCACUGUUUCGACUAGGGGGUCAUCCCGACUUACCAACUCGAUGCAAACUGCGAAUACCGAAGAAUGUUAUCACGGGAGACACACGGCGGGUGCUAACGUCCGUCGUGAAGAGGGAAACAACCCAGACCGCCAGCUAAGGUCCCAAAGUCAUGGUUAAGUGGGAAACGAAGUGGGAAGGCUCAGACAGCCAGGAUGUUGGCUUAGAAGCAGCCAUCAUUUAAAGAAAGCGUAAUAGCUCACUGGUCGAGUCGGCCCGCGCGGAAGAUGUAACGGGGCUAAACCAUGCACCGAAGCUGCGGCAGCGACACAAAGUGUUGUUGGGUAGGGGAGCGUUCUGUAAGCCUGCGAAGGUGUACUGUGAGGUAUGCUGGAGGUAUCAGAAGUGCGAAUGCUGACAUAAGUAACGAUAAUGCGGGUGAAAAACCCGCACGCCGGAAGACCAAGGGUUCCUGUCCAACGUUAAUCGGGGCAGGGUGAGUCGACCCCUAAGGCGAGGCUGAAAAGCGUAGUCGAUGGGAAACGGGUUAAUAUUCCCGUACUGG
Molecule: ribosomal RNA, 773 nt
Filed under: Proteus mirabilis
Lineage: Bacteria; Pseudomonadati; Pseudomonadota; Gammaproteobacteria; Enterobacterales; Morganellaceae
Description: partial 23S ribosomal RNA
Rfam family: Bacterial large subunit ribosomal RNA
Source: RNAcentral